Molecule: long non-coding RNA, 2569 nt
Filed under: Bemisia tabaci
Lineage: Eukaryota; Metazoa; Arthropoda; Insecta; Hemiptera; Aleyrodidae
Description: lncRNA ENSSSA3NGG010447
Source: RNAcentral
AUGAAUCAGGUGAAUAAUAACAAGAAUAAUUCAAAACAAGAAGAUCGAAAGCUUAUGCAUCCUGUGGUGAAUCCGGUGUUCGCAAAACCAACAGAAUUCCUAAAGCGUUUUGCUGCUUCUAAGAAACCAAGUUUAUCACUCUCAUCAUACCAGCCGAUCCCACCGAACAUUAAGUAUGAAUCUCCAAUGGUUAAUCGAACUGGUGUACAAUCAGCAAUUUCAACAGAAACAAGGUCAAGUGACUCAUCAAGAGGAGUAAACUUUCAACGCAGCAUCAGCACGAAUAGUCUCUCUUCAUCGUCACAGUUGUAUCGACCAGGAUAUCAGUCUUCGACGACCGCGACAAAGCCUGCAUCAUCUUCUUCAAGAACACCAAUUUCGUCUCGGUUAAUAUAUUUUUCUUUUCACAUUAAUAAGAAGAAAUACAAAAAAAGACCUUGAAGCUUUUAUACUUUAAACAUGAUGGACAUAUAAUUCCUUCGUCCUAAACGGCAAGAGUAAUAUUUGUUUCUGGUCAAAGCAGCUACUUUGAAGUAAAUGGAUCAAAGCGCAUUGCCUAACAUUGUGAUAACAAAAUUUCUUAUGACAACAAUAUCUAAAUUUAAUGGACAUCAUAGAUGUUAAUUACUUGGUCUGAGAUCUUCAGUAAUUUUCUACUUUUUAAUAUAGGUAAGCCCUUGUAGCAUUAAGGUGAUCCGUCAAGCUCAGUGACGUGGUCAAACUGGCAUGCGAUAUAUUGCAUUGAUUAGGUACAAAUUAGCAGAUUUUGAAUUUUUAGCAAAAAUAAGGACAAAGCCCCUGCGCAUGAGCUUAAAGAAUCAUUUGAAACCCAAAAAUCUGCAAAUUUCAGAGAAAUCAAAGCAGAAUAGUGUUGGGAAACAACUUGCAUUCAAUUCAACUAUCGAUUUCUGUAUCGGAUGCGAGAUUUUUUUCCAAACACUAUUCUGCUUUCAUUUCUCUGAAUUUUGCCGAUUUUUGGGUUUAGAAUGAUUCUUUAGGCUCAUGCCCAGGGGCUAUAGUCUUUUUUUUGCUAAAAAUUUAAAAUCUGCCGAGAAUUUGGACCUAAUCGAUGCCAUAUAACCAUGCCAGUUCGACCAUGUCACUUGAGCUUGACAAUCACCUUAACAGUAAAUUUGGACUUGUAAUACUGAAAGGUUUACUAAUUGGGAGACCCUUUUUCUUUUAAGUAAAAUUUAUGUAAAAUUUAAAAGUGAAAAAAGUUACAAAAAAAUGAACACAAAACGUUAAGUAUACAGGAAAAUAUGCAAAAUACAGAAAUGAGAAUAAAGUAAUAUUUUUUAUGAGAUGUACUAAAAUAACAUAACCCAAAAACUCAUAUUCUUGCAAAAGUAACACUUUCACAUAAAAAGAAUGAGAGAGCUUCCUACUCUAUAAGUAGGUAUCAUAUAUAAAAGUUUUUUUUUUUUUUUUUUUUUGAGAGCUAUCCCUUCUCUAAAGUUUUUAAGUUCUAUUGGCUUUUGGAAAUAACUUUUUCGUAGUCAAUUUUUGGAGAAGUCUAUUCUACUUUUUUCCUUUGAAUUAAGUUAUGUACAUUUAGAGACUGAUGAAAUGAAUGAAAGUGGAAUUUUUGAAUUUUUAGGGGUACUAGAAACGUGAGCAGUUGGACUUGUUCCUCACAAUCAUCUCAAAAGCGAGGAACAGAGAGAACCACAAGUGUAUCUAAAGAUCGUCUAGCUCAGCAACAACCUCUACUUCGAAUCAAUCUCGUGUUAUUAUCGGUGAGUCAAAAUAACCUUUUUUGGAUUUGGUGAAACGGGAUGUAUUGAACAGAAAGCUCCAUAAGAAUAUUAGUAGAUAUGAAUGUAAGGUCGUUUGAGUAUUCUCUGUGUUUUUUACUUAUUAUAUUUCUCUAAUUCUGUUGUUAAUCAUGUGCAAAUAAUUAUUUGUUUUCUCUUUUUCCCACCACUUAAGAGUUUUUACAAACUCAGAUCUAACUUUCAUGUCACAUUUUCUUCCAAAAUUAGCUAUCACAGAGGGAAGAGGAAAUGCUUGUGGUGAGGUUGGUCUUGCUGCUAUAGAUGUACAUCGUCCAUGUUUGAUCUUGUGCCAGCUCAGUGACCUCAUAAUUAUACCAACACGAUAGCAAAACUAAACGUUCUCAACCCCGCCGUUGUAAGCUUUUACUUUUAACUUUUCUUAAAGCUUGAACUUUUUUCCUUCUAUUUUGUCUUUAUGUCCUAUAGUAUUAAAGCAGCCUGAUUCACAAGGGGAACUUACGAACCUGCCGCCUCCGAUUGGGCUGAAUUUUUUUUGACAGACUCUAUGGACCAAUUCUAGAGGUCAAUUUGAGCCGUUUUCCUGAAUGCGCAAUAGGAAGGGCGUAAAAAAUUUCCAAAAAUUGCGUUUUCGGCGCGUGGCAACACUGCGUAGCCUCUAGUACCGCUUUAUCGCUCGCAUCGCUUCAGUCAACUCCUGAGCCCUACUGCACAGGAGCUGGCUUCGUAAUUGCGCGGCCCAGGUUCGGUUCCCAGUCUGGUGACUUACUUUUUAUUUUCAGCAUGAUCACGUAAUCAUUUUAUUUUUAAUCCUGCACUUACUUUUUAUUUUC